GUUGGAAUUGAUUCUGAUCGAGGUAGUGUAUGGGGAUGCAUCUAAAUCCGCGAGAGCGGCUUAGAAAGAUAAAGGAGCACAAACAAGGGUUGUUUAAAAAUGAACAGAUAAGCUAACGCACUACUGAUUUUCUGCCUACUAGCAAUGCAACUACUCCUGAGAAAGACUCAAACUGAACUAGUUGAAGCUAAGGGCCUGCCUUCCCAGCUACUGAGGUAAGGGGCAAAGGAUCCACUUGAUUCAUCACUUUAUUCAUAACCAUUCACGCUCCGAAACAGGGAGUGAUCAAGUCUUUCGACGGGGGGAAGAAUCGGAAACCAACAAAAUCUAUAUGAAUGGAUUUGCUUCCCCGGCGGAUGGAAAUGAGGGUUUGGUACAAAAAACCUAGAAAGUUGCCAUUGACUGAUUCACCAAGCCAAGCAUUGGAGCAAGCGAGGAAGACCGCUUUUUCCAUCAAAAAAGUAUGGGAAUAGGACCCCAACUUCGAAAUCAAUUCCAACCUUUCGCCCGGUCGCUAACCUAUCUUUUUGAGUCCCUUUGUUCGCCCUUCUUUCCUGCCAGUAGUGUAGGUGGAGGACUUUAUUUACUUUUUUAUGCAAUUGGCUCAACUGGAUAUCGAAUUGAAGCACUUAGAACUCAG
RNAcentral lists this long non-coding RNA (640 nucleotides) under Gossypium barbadense (sea-island cotton). RNAcentral describes it as "long non-coding RNA (GBAR_LNC008067)". The record is from RNAcentral. Lineage: Eukaryota; Viridiplantae; Streptophyta; Magnoliopsida; Malvales; Malvaceae.